Molecule: ribosomal RNA, 253 nt
Filed under: uncultured bacterium
Lineage: Bacteria
Description: partial 16S ribosomal RNA
Rfam family: Bacterial small subunit ribosomal RNA
Source: RNAcentral
UACGAAGGGGGCUAGCGUUGCUCGGAAUUACUGGGCGUAAAGGGCGCGUAGGCGGACAGUUUAGUCAGAGGUGAAAGCCCAGGGCUCAACCUUGGAAUAGCCUUUGAUACUGGCUGUCUUGAGUUCGGGAGAGGUGAGUGGAAUGCCGAGUGUAGAGGUGAAAUUCGUAGAUAUCAAGUGGAACACCGGUGGCGAAGGCGGCCUUCUGGACGGUGACUGACGCUGAGACGCGAAAGCGUGGGGAGCAAACAGG